GAUUGAACGCUGGCGGCAUGCCUUACACAUGCAAGUCGAACGGCAGCAUGAUCUAGCUUGCUAGAUUGAUGGCGAGUGGCGAACGGGUGAGUAAUACAUCGGAACGUGCCCUGUAGUGGGGGAUAACUAGUCGAAAGAUUAGCUAAUACCGCAUACGACCUGAGGGUGAAAGUGGGGGACCGCAAGGCCUCAUGCUAUAGGAGCGGCCGAUGUCUGAUUAGCUAGUUGGUGAGGUAAAGGCUCACCAAGGCGACGAUCAGUAGCUGGUCUGAGAGGACGAUCAGCCACACUGGGACUGAGACACGGCCCAGACUCCUACGGGAGGCAGCAGUGGGGAAUUUUGGACAAUGGGGGCAACCCUGAUCCAGCAAUGCCGCGUGUGUGAAGAAGGCCUUCGGGUUGUAAAGCACUUUUGUCCGGAAAGAAAUCGCACUUACUAAUAUUAGGUGUGGAUGACGGUACCGGAAGAAUAAGGACCGGCUAACUACGUGCCAGCAGCCGCGGUAAUACGUAGGGUCCAAGCGUUAAUCGGAAUUACUGGGCGUAAAGCGUGCGCAGGCGGUUGUGCAAGACCGAUGUGAAAUCCCCGGGCUUAACCUGGGAAUUGCAUUGGUGACUGCACGGCUAGAGUGUGUCAGAGGGGGGUAGAAUUUCCACGUGUAGCAGUGAAAUGCGUAGAGAUGUGGAGGAAUACCGAUGGCGAAGGCAGCCCCCUGGGAUAACACUGACGCUCAUGCACGAAAGCGUGGGGGAGCAAACAGGAUUAGAUACCCUGGUAGUCCACGCCCUAAACGAUGUCAACUAGUUGUUGGGGAUUCAUUUCCUUAGUAACGUAGCUAACGCGUGAAGUUGACCGCCUGGGGAGUACGGUCGCAAGAUUAAAACUCAAAGGAAUUGACGGGGACCCGCACAAGCGGUGGAUGAUGUGGAUUAAUUCGAUGCAACGCGAAAAACCUUACCUACCCUUGACAUGCCACUAACGAAGCAGAGAUGCAUUAGGUGCUCGAAAGAGAAAGUGGACACAGGUGCUGCAUGGCUGUCGUCAGCUCGUGUCGUGAGAUGUUGGGUUAAGUCCCGCAACGAGCGCAACCCUUGUCUCUAGUUGCUACGAAAGGGCACUCUAGAGAGACUGCCGGUGACAAACCGGAGGAAGGUGGGGAUGACGUCAAGUCCUCAUGGCCCUUAUGGGUAGGGCUUCACACGUCAUACAAUGGUGCAUACAGAGGGUUGCCAAGCCGCGAGGUGGAGCUAAUCCCAGAAAAUGCAUCGUAGUCCGGAUCGUAGUCUGCAACUCGACUACGUGAAGCUGGAAUCGCUAGUAAUCGCGGAUCAGCAUGCCGCGGUGAAUACGUUCCCGGGUCUUGUACACACCGC
Molecule: ribosomal RNA, 1374 nt
Filed under: uncultured bacterium
Lineage: Bacteria
Description: bacterial SSU rRNA
Rfam family: Bacterial small subunit ribosomal RNA
Source: RNAcentral